RNAcentral lists this long non-coding RNA (378 nucleotides) under Homo sapiens (human). Its description in RNAcentral is "HSALNT0307724". The record is from RNAcentral. Lineage: Eukaryota; Metazoa; Chordata; Mammalia; Primates; Hominidae.
GCUGGGUUUACAGGCGUGAGCCACGGCGCCCGGCCUUGAGACACUUUCGGGAACUUUAAAAGAUGCCUACCACCAUUUGUCUCUCAUGAAGAUGUGAACUGCGACUGGAAACAGCUCAGUCUCUCACAGGGAAAGCACAAUGACACAGAAGGAAAUAUAGAAGUCCCCAAAUUAGGAAUCUUGGAUUUUAGACCCAGUGUUCCCUUAACUGCUUAAAGUGUGACCUCAAGCCAUAUACUGACAUCAACACUUAGGAAGAAAUAGGACUGCAAUGAGGACAAAACCUGUUACAGGGAAAGGAAAUGAUAGAGGCCUGGAAAACAAAGCAAAUAACAAGAGUCAGAUGUUGAAGGAAUAGAGGGAAAUAUACUAAGAGGA